RNAcentral lists this ribosomal RNA (255 nucleotides) under uncultured bacterium. RNAcentral describes it as "partial 16S ribosomal RNA". It matches the Rfam family "Bacterial small subunit ribosomal RNA", at positions 524 to 776 of the family's 1533-position model. The record is from RNAcentral.
UACGUAGGGGGCAAGCGUUGUCCGGAUUUAUUGGGCGUAAAGAGCUCGUAGGCGGUUUGUCGCGUCUGCUGUGAAAACUGGAGGCUCAACCUCCAGCCUGCAGUGGGUACGGGCAGACUAGAGUGUGGUAGGGGAGACUGGAAUUCCUGGUGUAGCGGUGAAAUGCGCAGAUAUCAGGAGGAACACCGAUGGCGAAGGCAGGUCUCUGGGCCACUACUGACGCUGGAGAAAGCGAAAGCAUGGGGAGCAAACAGG